GGUGGGACACAGGCUCGUCCCCCUGGGCCUCUCAUAGUGUCCCAUGCCACAGCAAACCGUGGCCCCGAACCAUUGCCCGUAGGCUGCAGGCACUGAAGCGGGUCGCACAGUG
RNAcentral lists this small nucleolar RNA (112 nucleotides) under Canis lupus familiaris (dog). RNAcentral describes it as "Small nucleolar RNA SNORA42/SNORA80 family (multiple genes)". It matches the Rfam family "Small nucleolar RNA SNORA42/SNORA80 family". From Rfam's summary of the family: The members of this family belong to the H/ACA class of snoRNAs that guide the sites of modification of uridines to pseudouridines. Human ACA42 (SNORA42) was cloned from HeLa cells by immunoprecipitation with anti-GAR1 antibody. Lineage: Eukaryota; Metazoa; Chordata; Mammalia; Carnivora; Canidae. The record is from Rfam by way of RNAcentral.